RNAcentral lists this transfer RNA (85 nucleotides) under Oceanirhabdus sp. W0125-5. RNAcentral's name for it is "tRNA-Tyr". It matches the Rfam family "tRNA". From Rfam's summary of the family: Transfer RNA (tRNA) molecules are approximately 80 nucleotides in length. Their secondary structure includes four short double-helical elements and three loops (D, anti-codon, and T loops). Further hydrogen bonds mediate the characteristic L-shaped molecular structure. tRNAs have two regions of fundamental functional importance: the anti-codon, which is responsible for specific mRNA codon recognition, and the 3' end, to which the tRNAs corresponding amino acid is attached (by aminoacyl-tRNA synthetases). tRNAs cope with the degeneracy of the genetic code in two manners: having more than one tRNA (with a specific anti-codon) for a particular amino acid; and 'wobble' base-pairing, i.e. permitting non-standard base-pairing at the 3rd anti-codon position. Lineage: Bacteria; Bacillati; Bacillota; Clostridia; Eubacteriales; Clostridiaceae. The record is from RNAcentral.
GGGCGAGUUCCCGAGUGGCCAAAGGGGGCAGACUGUAAAUCUGUUGCGUUUCGCUUCGAUGGUUCGAAUCCAUCUUCGCCCACCA